AGCGAACGCUGGCGGCAGGCUUAACACAUGCAAGUCGAGCGGGCGUAGCAAUACGUCAGCGGCAGACGGGUGAGUAACGCGUGGGAACGUACCUUUUGGUUCGGAACAACACAGGGAAACUUGUGCUAAUACCGGAUAAGCCCUUACGGGGAAAGAUUUAUCGCCGAAAGAUCGGCCCGCGUCUGAUUAGCUAGUUGGUGAGGUAACGGCUCACCAAGGCGACGAUCAGUAGCUGGUCUGAGAGGAUGAUCAGCCACAUUGGGACUGAGACACGGCCCAAACUCCUACGGGAGGCAGCAGUGGGGAAUAUUGGACAAUGGGCGCAAGCCUGAUCCAGCCAUGCCGCGUGAGUGAAGAAGGCCUCGG
Molecule: ribosomal RNA, 366 nt
Filed under: uncultured bacterium
Lineage: Bacteria
Description: bacterial SSU rRNA
Rfam family: Bacterial small subunit ribosomal RNA
Source: RNAcentral